UGACGGUACCGGAAGAAGAAGCACCGGCUAACUACGUGCCAGCAGCCGCGGUAAUACGUAGGGUGCAAGCGUUAAUCGGAAUUACUGGGCGUAAAGUGUGCGCAGGCGGUUUUGUAAGUCAGGUGUGAAAUCCCGGGGCUCAACCUGGGAACUGCAUUUGGGAGUGCAUAUCUGGGGUGGCGGGGAGGGGGGUAGUAUUCCGGGUGUAGCUGUAAAAUGUGUAGAUAUGGGGAGG
This 235-nucleotide ribosomal RNA is filed under the name uncultured soil bacterium. RNAcentral describes it as "partial 16S ribosomal RNA". It matches the Rfam family "Bacterial small subunit ribosomal RNA", at positions 470 to 704 of the family's 1533-position model. The record is from RNAcentral.